GAAAAGGCUAUGAAGAGGGAAGUACUCUAUCGGAAGUUUACAGAGAGCUCCAGAUGGUGGGAAGGAGCAGCAAAAGACAGACGAAACAAGCCUCGGAGCUGCAUAUGGAUCGGCCUGUUUAAGACCGUGAUGCUAUGACGUGGGUCCACGUUACAGGACUAGAGUAUGUUCGUACUUAAAGAGGUUAAUAUGGUGACAUAUUAAUAAAAUAGGGUGGUACCGCGAUAGAUUCGCCCCUGUG
This 241-nucleotide non-coding RNA is filed under the name Anaerocolumna xylanovorans. RNAcentral describes it as "T-box sequence". It matches the Rfam family "T-box leader". Rfam says of the family: Uncharged tRNA acts as the effector for transcription antitermination of genes in the T-box leader family. T-boxes are found upstream of many aminoacyl-tRNA synthetase genes and some amino acid biosynthetic genes usually in Gram-positive bacteria. The anticodon of a specific tRNA base pairs to a specifier sequence within the T-box motif, and the NCCA acceptor tail of the tRNA base pairs to a conserved bulge in the T-box antiterminator hairpin. Lineage: Bacteria; Bacillati; Bacillota; Clostridia; Lachnospirales; Lachnospiraceae. The record is from RNAcentral.